RNAcentral lists this ribosomal RNA (468 nucleotides) under uncultured bacterium. Its description in RNAcentral is "partial 16S ribosomal RNA". It matches the Rfam family "Bacterial small subunit ribosomal RNA", at positions 28 to 507 of the family's 1533-position model. The record is from RNAcentral.
GGCGAACGCUGGCGGCGUGCUUAACACAUGCAAGUCGAACGGAAAGGCCCUGCUUUUGUGGGGUGCUCGAGUGGCGAACGGGUGAGUAACACGUGAGUAACCUGCCCUUGACUUUGGGAUAACUUCAGGAAACUGGGGCUAAUACCGGAUAGGAGCUCCUGCUGCAUGGUGGGGGUUGGAAAGUUUCGGCGGUUGGGGAUGGACUCGCGGCUUAUCAGCUUGUUGGUUGGGUAGUGGCUUACCAAGGCUUUGACGGGUAGCCGGCCUGAGAGGGUGACCGGCCACAUUGGGACUGAGAUACGGCCCAGACUCCUACGGGAGGCAGCAGUGGGGAAUAUUGCACAAUGGGCGGAAGCCUGAUGCAGCAACGCCGCGUGCGGGAUGACGGCCUUCGGGUUGUAAACCGCUUUCGCCUGUGACGAAGCGUGAGUGACGGUAAUGGGUAAAGAAGCACCGGCUAACUACGUG